CCUACGGUGUGCAGCAGUGGGGAAUAUUGGGCAAUGGGCGCAAGCCUGACCCAGCAACGCCGCGUGAAGGAAGAAGGCUUUCGGGUUGUAAACUUCUUUUAUCAGGGACGAAGCACGUGACGGUACCUGAUGAAUAAGCCACGGCUAACUACGUGCCAGCAGCCGCAGUAAUACGUGGGUGGCAAAUGUUAUCCGGAUUUACUGGGUGUAAAGGGCGUGUAGGCGGGAGUGCAAGUCAGAUGUGAAAAUUAGGGGCUUAACGCAGAGCCUGCAUUUGAAACUGUACUUCAUGAGUGCUGGAGAGGCAAUCGGAAUUCCGUGUGUAGCGGUGAAAUGCGUAGAUAUACGGAGGA
Molecule: ribosomal RNA, 353 nt
Filed under: uncultured bacterium
Lineage: Bacteria
Description: partial 16S ribosomal RNA
Rfam family: Bacterial small subunit ribosomal RNA
Source: RNAcentral